GGGGUCAAAAAGACACCAAGAAAGGAGAAAACCCGAAGCUCAGGCGAGGACUAGGCGAUAGAAAAGCGAAACAGCGAGCUGGAAAUUACCGCUGGUCGCCCGGGCGACGAACGUUCGUAGCCUAGGUGCUGAAAACUGGCGCCCAAGCCUUACAAAAGCCUUGAUUCACGCCCAGGGGAGCUCCUUGCAACGCUUGAGCAUGAUUUGACGCGGAUCGGGCCCUAUUUCUGCUCUGAUUUGAUUCUUUUGGAUCGGGCCACACUUUGGAACACUUUUGGAACUAGUUAAAGGACCCUGGGGCUCUAGGUUUUGC
This 313-nucleotide long non-coding RNA is filed under the name Vigna radiata. RNAcentral describes it as "long non-coding RNA (VRAD_LNC017494)". Lineage: Eukaryota; Viridiplantae; Streptophyta; Magnoliopsida; Fabales; Fabaceae. The record is from RNAcentral.